UCACCUCCUUGGCUCGUAUCAUUCUCCCCCUCUUCAAGAAGAUUCGUCCUCGAAUCUGAACCUACAUCAAAUUCAAAAGGAGAAAGAUCAAAAACAUUGAAAGUAGCACUAACACUAUACUCACCAGGAAGAUCAAUGCGAUAAGCAUUGUCAUUUAUUUUCUCGAGUACUUGGAAUGGUCCAUCUCCUCGUGCAUCAAGUUUAUUCUUUCUCUUAGA
RNAcentral lists this long non-coding RNA (218 nucleotides) under Gossypium raimondii (Peruvian cotton). Its description in RNAcentral is "long non-coding RNA (GRAI_LNC008463)". Lineage: Eukaryota; Viridiplantae; Streptophyta; Magnoliopsida; Malvales; Malvaceae. The record is from RNAcentral.